This 250-nucleotide ribosomal RNA is filed under the name uncultured bacterium. Its description in RNAcentral is "partial 16S ribosomal RNA". It matches the Rfam family "Bacterial small subunit ribosomal RNA", at positions 524 to 773 of the family's 1533-position model. The record is from RNAcentral.
UACGGAGGGUGCAAGCGUUGCUCGGAAUUACUGGGCGUAAAGCGUGCGCAGGCGGCGUGACAAGUCAGGCGUGAAAGACCAGGGCUUAACCCUGGGAGGUCGCUUGAAACUGUCAUGCUUGAGUACGGGAGAGGGGUGUGGAAUUCCCAGUGUAGGAGUGAAAUCCGUAGAUAUUGGGAGGAACACCAGUGGCGAAGGCGACACCCUGGCCCGAGACUGACGCUCAGGCACGAAAGCGUGGGUAGCAAAC